GGCUGGGAGCCUCACCACCACUAGUGUCCAAUCAUAGCACAGGCAAAAACUGGAGCCCAGUUAAAUUCCGUUGUUUUCUCAAAAAACAGAUGAGCAUUUGGACCUGAGACAUCCACAUUCAGGGAGUGAACUCUUCCUGGCUGCAGGAACAAGAAUGUAUGAUUCUGUGCGCAGUGAGAAAUGCUGCACAUGGAUUCAGUUCAAAUAGGUAGGUAGAAGAUCUCCUAUCAGCAAUCUUGCAUGGAGCCUGCAGGAAGGCAGCUGCUGCAGCCA
Molecule: long non-coding RNA, 273 nt
Filed under: Junco hyemalis (dark-eyed junco)
Lineage: Eukaryota; Metazoa; Chordata; Aves; Passeriformes; Passerellidae
Description: lncRNA (ENSJHYG00000010826.1)
Source: RNAcentral